AAGGUAAGCUAGAGGAAGAUUUAGCUGAUUCUUUGUAUUUUACUUGUCGGUAUAUUACCGGCGUAUAUCAACUGAAUUUUUUUAUGUAUAUAUAUAAUGAUGUACAUCUUGAUACAUGACUCUGUUAUAAGAUACCGAAAACAAAUGACUUUUUGCAAGAGUGAGAAAUUUAUGUUAAUGUGAACUAAAUGUGUCUGUUUGUAGCUGAAGAUAGUUCAGUGAAGAGAGAGGAGGAGGAGAGAAGACGUCAUGAGAUCAUCAAGACAUUCCGUACAGCACCUUUCGAGGAAAUUGUUGCCAGGUCUGAAGCAAAGUCCAACCAUUUCCACAACAAGUUGAAUGAGAUUUUGUCUAUGGUAUCAAAAGGUUCAGACAGUCCGGGAACAUUGAGACGAGCUGCAGAUAAACCUGCCACUGUGUUUGACAUUCAGUAUCCCGAGCUAUAUGUGUACUAAAUGUUACAAUGUGGACAUUGUGUUACAUACGCGCUUUCUUCUUAAAAUGAUUAAUUAAUUUAUUUUAAAUACCGUGAUGGAUGAUGGUCCUUGCUGUCUUGGCUCGUCAGUACUGCCAUUAUUGGAUGAUUUCAUUACACAUCAGAGAAAAUCCAUCAUAAUUUUAUGGGGAAGUGUGUCCAUAUGUUUUACUCCACACGUAUUUUUAGACCAAUCCAUUAGGCCUCUGACUAAGAAGCACAAUGGGUUUUAAAGGCACAAUGGGCUUAAAGGGGAGAAGGUUCAUGGGAUAUACGACAUGUAUGCUAUAAACACAAAACAAAAUCUAACUUUAAAGCAGAUUUUUUGGUAAUUGGGAAUUUAAUAAUGACUCAAUUUCAAAGUUUUAAGAUCCAAAGUUACCGGUACUUAAAUUUGGUCAAUUUUUGAUGACACUGCACUGAAAAAAAAGACAUAAUUUUUUAACAGAACUAGCCAGUUACCAUUUGCAGACUUUGUAUAUUUUCUGGACUUAAUCCUGCAGUUAUGUGUUGUUUUGUGAUAUAGAUAACUGCUUUAAGUAAUUAUCUUACCUGUAAAAUAUGAGACCUACAAACUAAACUGCUAAUCAUUUAGAAAUAUGUAGAAUGGAAGAGAAUUUCAUAGACAAGUUAACAGUGGUUAGAAAGAAAAUUUUCAGUGUGAUAUUUAAAAGCAUAAAAAAUCUAAUAAGCUGUGAGUUACCCAUUCAUACACCUUAUAUUUAGCAAAGAAUUAGGCCAUCAUGAGCUGUAUUGAUGUAGUUUUUGUUACAUUUUGUAUUUACAUAGGGUACGUAGAACAAUUAUAAGCAUUAAGCAUUCUAGUCUUAAAGACCCAGGGCAGAGUAAAGGUAUUCUGUUGUGUUUGCAUGAUGGUGAUUUUACAUGCUUUGCAUGUAGGAAGGGAAAACAACAGUAUGAACUUGUUUUUUAUUUCAGUUAAAGAUGGCAUAAACAAUUAAAUUAUGUUUAUUUCUGAACUAGAAUAAUGCAAUGUUAUAAAAACAAAAGCUGAUAACACUGUCUAAAUGCAGAAAUUAAAAGCCAUUCUUUAAACUGGAGAUAUAACUGUAUUACAAUGUAUUAGGAGAUUGAUUUUCAUUAAGUUCACUGGUGGAAAAAGUAGGUUUUCCUGUGUCAUGAUGUCUCAGAUUCAGACUGGAAGUGUUGAUGAAUACUAGCUUACAUUCUAAUUAUAUCCCUGGUUUUUACAUGAAAGAUAUUACUUUGUAAUUCUGUGUAGAAAUGGAACUCAACUUUGAUUGGCAGAUUUAGAUGUUAGUGAAAUACAAACUUAAAGGUUUAUACAAGUAAUCAUGAGUGAUAUCAAGCUGUUCUAAGGGCAUUAUGUAUUUACAUGCAGAAACAGGAAGUUGUCUCUGAAUGGUAUAUUUAUAGAUAGAGUAAAUUUUUUCAUAAAAAGUACAUUUCUAAUCAUGUGAUUGCUCUUUCAUGAUAUAUUUGAUUUUUGUCAGAGCUGAGAUCAAUUUUAGUUCUGUAAGUCCGAGAGAAAGAAAAAAAAAGCUGACACAUCAAUAGAAUUUUGAUUGGUGUAGCCGAACUAUAUAAUUCUGGCAUUUUUCAAAACACACUUUCUUAAAUGAAUGAAAUGAAGCAAAGAAAUCAUAUCAUAAACAUAGCAAUUGUCGCAAUUAUUUUACUUACUUGGGGGAAUUACUAUAAUUAAAUUAUGAUAUAACACAUAUUUCUUUACAUAAAUCUUGAAUGUUUAUAAUUUUAUACUAGAUAGAUCAUGUAAAACUGUGAUUAGGGUUAGUGCAAUGUGCAAUAUUAUGUUAAUUACUUGUCAACAUUAUUCAUAAUGUUCACAGUCUCCAUUGUGUAUAAAAAAAAAACAACAUUAAAACAAAUAUAAAUUCAA
RNA transcript from Mercenaria mercenaria, 2357 nucleotides. It is a transcript of the gene named protein EFR3 homolog B-like, with no coding region annotated. Lineage: Eukaryota; Metazoa; Mollusca; Bivalvia; Venerida; Veneridae. The transcript has 3 exons. The record is from RefSeq and is a predicted model, not a curated record.